RNAcentral lists this ribosomal RNA (454 nucleotides) under uncultured bacterium. Its description in RNAcentral is "bacterial SSU rRNA". It matches the Rfam family "Bacterial small subunit ribosomal RNA", at positions 340 to 786 of the family's 1533-position model. The record is from RNAcentral.
UACGGGAGGCAGCAGUGGGGAAUAUUGCACAAUGGGCGCAAGCCUGAUGCAGCCAUGCCGCGUGUAUGAAAAAGGCCUUCGGGUUGUAAAGUACUUUCAGUCGUGAGGAAGGUGUUAAGGUUAAUAACCUUAGCAAUUGACGUUAGCGACAGAAGAAGCACCGGCUAACUCCGUGCCAGCAGCCGCGGUAAUACGGAGGGUGCGAGCGUUAAUCGGAAUUACUGGGCGUAAAGGGCACGCAGGCGGUUAAUUAAGUUGGAUGUGAAAUCCCCGGGCUUAACCUGGGAAUGGCAUUCAAGCUGGUUAGCUAGAGUCUUGUAGAGGGGGUAGAAUUCCAUGUGUAGCGGUGAAAUGCGUAGAGAUGUGGAGGAAUACCGGUGGCGAAGGCGGCCCCUGGACAAAGGACUGACGCUCAUGUGCGAAAGCGUGGGGAGCGAAACAGGGAUUAGAUACC